AAAUUUUUUUUUAUUUUAAUUUGCAACCUAUUUAUAAAUCGAUUGAUUGAUGUUAGUAAUUGAUUUCUGUAACCAAUUGAAAUUGAUUAUUAUUAAUAGCCGAUUUUAUAACCAAUUGCGAAUUGGUUGCAAAAUUUUUCUCUCAAAAUUCCUAUCCAAUUUUUAAAAGAAAUAAGCAACUGAUCGAUUGUUAAUUUACUUAUAUAAACUAUUACUCAUUUUAUUUUUUUACUAUUCAUUUUCUUUUUCACUAUUCAUUUUUCUCUGUUUCUUCCAUUCUCUCAUUUUCUUCAUCUUUUUCAUUCAUAUUUUUUUAUUUAUCAUUUUUUCUUUUUUAACAUAUUUUUUUCAUCA
This 354-nucleotide unclassified non-coding RNA is filed under the name Hevea brasiliensis (rubber tree). The record is from RNAcentral. Lineage: Eukaryota; Viridiplantae; Streptophyta; Magnoliopsida; Malpighiales; Euphorbiaceae.